AACGGUAGCUAAUACCGCAUAAUGUCGCAAGACCAAAGUGGGGGACCUUCGGGCCUCAUGCCAUCAGAUGUGCCCAGAUGGGAUUAGCUAGUAGGUGGGGUAACGGCUCACCUAGGCGACGAUCCCUAGCUGGUCUGAGAGGAUGACCAGCCACACUGGAACUGAGACACGGUCCAGACUCCUACGGGAGGCAGCAGUGGGGA
Molecule: ribosomal RNA, 203 nt
Filed under: Klebsiella pneumoniae
Lineage: Bacteria; Pseudomonadati; Pseudomonadota; Gammaproteobacteria; Enterobacterales; Enterobacteriaceae
Description: partial 16S ribosomal RNA
Rfam family: Bacterial small subunit ribosomal RNA
Source: RNAcentral